AACGAACGCUGGCGGCAUGCCUAACACAUGCAAGUCGAACGAGACCUUCGGGUCUAGUGGCGCACGGGUGCGUAACGCGUGGGAACCUGCCCUUAGGUCCGGAAUAACUCCCCGAAAGGGGUGCUAAUACCGGAUAAUGUCUUCGGCCCAAAGAUUUAUCGCCUUUGGAUGGGCCCGCGUUGGAUUAGCUAGUUGGUAGGGUAAAAGCCUACCAAGGCGACGAUCCAUAGCUGGUCUGAGAGGAUGAUCAGCCACACUGGGACUGAGACACGGCCCAGACUCCUACGGGAGGCAGCAGUGGGGAAUAGUGGAAAAUGGGGGAAAGGAUGAUCCAGCAAGGACGGGUGAGUGAUGAAGGCAGUAGGGUUGUAAAGCUCUUUUAACCGGGAUGAUAAUGACAGUACCGGGAGAAUAAGCUCCGGCUAACUCCGUG
This 433-nucleotide ribosomal RNA is filed under the name uncultured bacterium. RNAcentral's name for it is "partial 16S ribosomal RNA". It matches the Rfam family "Bacterial small subunit ribosomal RNA", at positions 29 to 507 of the family's 1533-position model. The record is from RNAcentral.